This is a long non-coding RNA of Bombus huntii, 1219 nucleotides long. RefSeq lists it as uncharacterized. Lineage: Eukaryota; Metazoa; Arthropoda; Insecta; Hymenoptera; Apidae. The record is from RefSeq and is a predicted model, not a curated record. The transcript has 2 exons.
GACGAUUUAAUGGACCGUUCGCAGACCGUUUGCUCUGUUACAGCAAACCGAUCAUCGUCCGUUUCUUUCGCCUUGAGAAUCCUCUCAAAUGCUUCCGGAAGCCGCUGGAUAAAUAACGUCUCGUAAAAACGGAGAACCUCUACCGUGGUCCAUGGCGUCGAUCCGCUUACAUUUUACAUUGAUGCAGCAAAAACCAGAUACUUUGAUUAUUCGUUCAACCAGCAACAACGUACACAUUUAGGACGCUGCUCUUUCUAACAUUCAUAGCGAUUACACGCUCUAUUUUCACGUCUAUCGACAUUGUUUCGUGUGGAAAAACUGAGAAGGGAAGCUCGAAGAAUCGUUUAGAACCGUGACAGGCUCGUUCGAUAUUUUCUUUCCUCUUGAGCAACGUGACUAGAAUUACUUGGAUAGAGUAGUAUGUAUAAGAGACUACUUAAUCCAUCAACGAAGAAAAUGCUUCACCGAUGUAGUUAAUGAAUCACUCGAGCGGACGCACGUCGGUUAAACAUCGCAGAUCUGCAUGGAAGACAAUUAAGAGUCGUUAAAAUAAUUCCGGUUAAUUAAAUGUUUCCAGUUGACGGACAGACGUCGCGAUGGAAAGUCGGUUUUGUUCGCGACUUUCAUCUAAUUAAUCCGACUGUCCCUGUUUCUCGGUGAUAUAUCGCAGUGUGGGUGGAAAUACGGAAAUAAAUGGCUCGCGUAUGUUUAAUAAUGGAUCUGAAGCUGCUCUAGCUUGAAACGGUAACGGUGAACGGAAUCGAAAAUAAGCGUCCCUGGGUGAGAGAAAAAAAAUGUAAAGAUGUGGCAGGUAAUUGGACGCCGGUAAUUAACGGAUGAUAAUCACGAUAAUGAUUACGGCGAUGACGACGAUAAUAGUGGUAUCGUUGUAUUAUGCUCGUAGCAGAUACGCCAGUACCUGCUGCUACUAGCAACGGAAGAAGAAAAGAGAAUAAGACGACGUGCAUGAACAGGAAGAAGAGGAAGAGGAAAAAGAAAUGUACCACGUUGGAUCAAUGAGAGGCGCUUUCACGAUAAUAAAUAUCUCACCAUUUAUCACGUCAACUGAUUACGCCCGGAAAAACGUUACCGAUUACCAUUUUCAAUCAUCCUCGGACAGAUCGAUUUACGAUUUCAGUCAUUUUAGCCGGUCGAUCAUUCAUCGUGUUAACGGCAAGGGACAUGAAGUGAGACGUGCCAUUCGAAUGGCACAGCCGCG